CCACAAUGGACGAAAGUCUGAUGGAGCGACGCCGCGUGCGGGAUGAAGGCCUUAUGGGUUGUAAACCGCUGUCAGGGGGGAAGAACAUCGGAAUGAACAAUACUCAUUCCGACUAACGUUACCCCCAGAGGAAGCUCCGGCCAACUCCGUGCCAGCAGCCGCGGUAAUACGGGGGAGCAAGCGUUGUCCGGAAUUAUUGGGCGUAAAGGGCGUGUAGGCGGCGAGGUAAGUCGGAAUGUGAAAUCUCACGGCUCAACCGUGAAACUGCGUUCGAAACUACCCUGCUUGAGUACGGGAGAGGUGUACGGAAUUCCGUGGUGUAAGCGGUGGAAU
RNAcentral lists this ribosomal RNA (333 nucleotides) under uncultured microorganism. RNAcentral's name for it is "bacterial SSU rRNA". It matches the Rfam family "Bacterial small subunit ribosomal RNA", at positions 366 to 687 of the family's 1533-position model. The record is from RNAcentral.